CCAAUAACGUGCCAGGAGCCGGGGGAAUACUUAGGGAGCAAGCGGUGUCCGGAGUUACUGGGCGUAAAGGGCGCGUAGGCGGGCUGCUAAGCGUGAAGUGAAAGCUCCAGGGCUCAACCCGGAAACAGCUUUGCGAACUGGCAGACUCGAGGAAGGCAGAGGUGAAUGGAAUUCCUGGUGUAGCGGUGACAUGCAUUGAUAUCAGGAGGAACACCCGAGGCGAAGGCGGUUCACUGGGCCUUAUCUGACGCUGAGGCGCGAAAGCGUGGGUAGCAAACAGGAUUAGAUACCCGGGUAGUC
RNAcentral lists this ribosomal RNA (300 nucleotides) under uncultured bacterium. RNAcentral describes it as "bacterial SSU rRNA". It matches the Rfam family "Bacterial small subunit ribosomal RNA", at positions 497 to 795 of the family's 1533-position model. The record is from RNAcentral.